GGGCUAUUAGCUCAAUUGGUUAGAGUGCACCCCUGAUAAGGGUGAGGUACCUGGUUCGAUUCUAGGAUAGCCCA
This 74-nucleotide transfer RNA is filed under the name Poterioochromonas malhamensis. RNAcentral's name for it is "tRNA-Ile". It matches the Rfam family "tRNA". From Rfam's summary of the family: Transfer RNA (tRNA) molecules are approximately 80 nucleotides in length. Their secondary structure includes four short double-helical elements and three loops (D, anti-codon, and T loops). RNAcentral also lists the same sequence under 1 other name. Lineage: Eukaryota; Synurophyceae; Ochromonadales; Ochromonadaceae. The record is from RNAcentral.